CCAGACUCCUACGGGAGGCAGCAGUGGGGAAUAUUGCACAAUGGGGGGAACCCUGAUGCAGCGACGCCGCGUGAGCGAAGAAGUAUCUCGGUAUGUAAAGCUCUAUCAGCAGGGAAGAAGAAGGACGGUACCUGAGUAAGAAGCCCCGGCUAACUACGUGCCAGCAGCCGCGGUAAUACGUAGGGGGCAAGCGUUAUCCGGAUUUACUGGGUGUAAAGGGAGCGUAGACGGCGAAGAAAGUCUGAAGUGAAAGCCAGCGGCUCAACCGCGGAAUGGCUUUGGAAACUUUUUUGCUGGAGUACCGGAGAGGUAAGCGGAAUUCCCAGUGUAGCGGUGAAAUGCGUAGAUAUUAGGAGGAACACCAGUGGCGAAGGCGGCUUACUGGACGGUAACUGACGUUGAGGCUCGAAAGCGUGGGGAGCAAACAGGAUUAGAUACCCCCGUAUGG
Molecule: ribosomal RNA, 448 nt
Filed under: uncultured bacterium
Lineage: Bacteria
Description: bacterial SSU rRNA
Rfam family: Bacterial small subunit ribosomal RNA
Source: RNAcentral